RNAcentral lists this transfer RNA (66 nucleotides) under Rhagophthalmus giganteus. Its description in RNAcentral is "tRNA-Asp". Lineage: Eukaryota; Metazoa; Arthropoda; Insecta; Coleoptera; Rhagophthalmidae. The record is from RNAcentral.
AAAAAUUUAGUUAAAUCAUAACAUAAACUUGUCAUGUUUAAAUAAUUAUUAAUAUAAUAGUUUUUU